AUGAACGCUGGCGGCGUGCCUAAUACAUGCAAGUCGAGCGAACAGAUGAGGAGCUUGCUCCUCUGACGUUAGCGGCGGACGGGUGAGUAACACGUGGAUAACCUACCUAUAAGACUGGGAUAACUUCGGGAAACCGGAGCUAAUACCGGAUAAUAUAUUGAACCGCAUGGUUCAAUAGUGAAAGACGGUUUUGCUGUCACUUAUAGAUGGAUCCGCGCCGCAUUAGCUAGUUGGUAAGGUAACGGCUUACCAAGGCAACGAUGCGUAGCCGACCUGAGAGGGUGAUCGGCCACACUGGAACUGAGACACGGUCCAGACUCCUACGGGAGGCAGCAGUAGGGAAUCUUCCGCAAUGGGCGAAAGCCUGACGGAGCAACGCCGCGUGAGUGAUGAAGGUCUUCGGAUCGUAAAACUCUGUUAUUAGGGAAGAACAAAUGUGAAAGUAACUAUGCACGUCUUGACGGUACCUAAUCAGAAAGCCACGGCUAACUACGUG
This 496-nucleotide ribosomal RNA is filed under the name uncultured bacterium. RNAcentral's name for it is "partial 16S ribosomal RNA". It matches the Rfam family "Bacterial small subunit ribosomal RNA", at positions 29 to 507 of the family's 1533-position model. The record is from RNAcentral.